This 520-nucleotide ribosomal RNA is filed under the name uncultured Glomus. RNAcentral describes it as "SSU rRNA". It matches the Rfam family "Eukaryotic small subunit ribosomal RNA", at positions 569 to 1092 of the family's 1831-position model. The record is from RNAcentral. Lineage: Eukaryota; Fungi; Glomeromycota; Glomeromycetes; Glomerales; Glomeraceae.
AGCAGCCGCGGUAAUUCCAGCUCCAAUAGCGUAUAUUAAAGUUGUUGCAGUUAAAAAGCUCGUAGUUGAAUUUCGGGGUCAGUAGGUUGGUCGUGCCACGGGUAUGAACUGGUCUCACUGAUUCCUCCUUCCUGAUGAACCGUAAUGCCAUUAAUUUGGUGUUGCGGGGAGACUGGACUGUUACUUUGAAAAAAUUGAGUGUUUAAAGCAGGCUAACGCUUGAAUACAUUAGCAUGGAAUAAUGAAAUAGGACGUUCGGUCUUAUUUUGUUGGUUUCUAAGAUUGACGUAAUGAUUAAUAGGGAUAGUUGGGGGCAUUAGUAUUCAAUUGUCAGAGGAGAAAUUCUUGGAUUUAUUGAAGACUAACUACUGCGAAAGCACUUGCCAAGGAUGUUUUCAUUAAUCAAGAACGAAGUUAGGGAUCGAAGACGAUCAGAUACCGUCGUAGUCUUAACCAUAAACUAUGACCGACUAGGGAUCGGAUGAUGUUAAUUUUUAUGACUUCGAUUCGGCGCCUUACG